AACGCUGGCGGCGUGCCUAACACAUGCAAGUCGAACGGGGAUUUGUUUCGGCAGAAUCCUAGUGGCGAACGGGUGAGUAACGCGUAGGCAACCUGCCCUCCGGCCGGGGACAACACUCCGAAAGGGGUGCUAAUACCGGAUACGAAGUCUGUGCCGCAUGGUACGGAUUUGAAAGAUGGCCUCUAUUUAUAAGCUAUCGCCGGGGGAUGGGCCUGCGUCCGAUUAGCUGGUUGGUGGGGUAACGGCCUACCAAGGCGACGAUCGGUAGCCGGUCUGAGAGGAUGAACGGCCACAUUGGGACUGAGACACGGCCCAGACUCCUACGGGAGGCAGCAGUGGGGAAUCUUCCGCAAUGGGCGCAAGCCUGACGGAGCAACGCCGCCGUGAGUGAGGAAGUUCUUCGGAACGUAAAGCUCUGUUGUUCCUGACGAACCUCCCUUCUAUCAACAACGGAGGGGACUGACGGUAGGGAACGAGGAAGCCACGGCUAACUACGUGCCAGCCGCCGC
This 509-nucleotide ribosomal RNA is filed under the name uncultured bacterium. RNAcentral's name for it is "bacterial SSU rRNA". It matches the Rfam family "Bacterial small subunit ribosomal RNA", at positions 32 to 518 of the family's 1533-position model. The record is from RNAcentral.